RNAcentral lists this ribosomal RNA (159 nucleotides) under Alternaria gomphrenae. Its description in RNAcentral is "5.8S ribosomal RNA". It matches the Rfam family "5.8S ribosomal RNA". From Rfam's summary of the family: 5.8S ribosomal RNA (5.8S rRNA) is a component of the large subunit of the eukaryotic ribosome. It is transcribed by RNA polymerase I as part of the 45S precursor that also contains 18S and 28S rRNA. The record is from RNAcentral. Lineage: Eukaryota; Fungi; Ascomycota; Dothideomycetes; Pleosporales; Pleosporaceae.
CAACUUUCAACAACGGAUCUCUUGGUUCUGGCAUCGAUGAAGAACGCAGCGAAAUGCGAUAAGUAGUGUGAAUUGCAGAAUUCAGUGAAUCAUCGAAUCUUUGAACGCACAUUGCGCCCUUUGGCAUUCCAAAGGGCAUGCCUGUUCGAGCGUCAUUUG